GUUGAAGUGAGGUAUUUGACAACCUUCUUUUCUAUGAACAUGGAAUGUGUGCCUGAAGCUGGCUCGGUGUUCAUUGUGACUUUUUGUGUUGUUGUUACCCUGUAGCAAUGCUCAUAAAAGACUGAUAGACCCAAGUGCUUCUCUUCAACUAAACUUCAUACAGGGGUAGCUAUGCAAUUAGGCAUAGUGAGUGUAAUAUGAUCUGCAUGGGUGAUAGCUAAUGGUUAACUGGCUCUGCUGAACCUGUGUUCCUUAAACAAACGCUAUCAGUGUGGGAUGAGUUGUCUUAUUUCUGCAGACAACCUACUUCAGUCUGAACAGGUGCUUGAUGCAGUGUAAAGCUUCUCAGGAUAGCUGGAGCAACUUUGUACUAAGGCUUUGAGAAAGGAAAGAGAAAUAGGCAAGAUCAUGCUUUACACAGGAGGUUUACACAGUGUGGAGAUACGCUGUAUGGAGAAUGAAGGGGCAAGAUAGUGCUGAAACUUUGAGCUCUGUACAAGGCAGAAAAUUAAUAGAUAAGCUUUCCCAGAGCAGAUGUGGACCUGUCCUGUACAUACCUGGAGGAGAAUCUGAGAGCUUGAGUUACUGCUGUGGCUCAGUGGGAGAACACAGUACUCAGGAGAGGAAUCCCAGGAGCCACCAAGUUCAGCCAGGAGCAUCCUGAGUUUAGUUCAAUGACUUGUGCAUUUUUGCAAAGUGGAGGAUAGGGCAUAGUCCAACCCAAUAAACCGAAUUACCCUGUCUGUUCUCUGGCUAUC
This 758-nucleotide long non-coding RNA is filed under the name Cyanistes caeruleus (blue tit). RNAcentral describes it as "lncRNA (ENSCCEG00000010988.1)". Lineage: Eukaryota; Metazoa; Chordata; Aves; Passeriformes; Paridae. The record is from RNAcentral.